AUGUCUUCUAGCUUCGAGUUGUGUGGAUGCUAAAUUUUGUCCAUUUGUCGUGCCAUGUUCCUGUGAGUCUUGGAGAGGAACAACAGGGUGCAGAAGGCAUUAGUGUUUUGGCAUCUGCUAUCCACUUUCUGUGCAAUGUGUUGCAGUGUGUUGUGGGACUUGUGGCGUAUUUUGGCCUUUUGGUUGAAAGAGGUCCAUGAAAGUACUUGAUGCCUUGUUUAUUUUGUGUAUAUGAAGGUAGAUGAUUAGUCGCGAACCAAUAUACCUAGCAUAUGGGCUAUUGAAGACAUUACAAAUCGAAUGAAUCUUACUCCUGUGGCCUUGCUGGAGGAAACUUGCUUCUCAAGAACUGUUUUUAGUGGGCAGCCUUGCAAACCCGACUACAGCAAUAUACCUCGCGCUGUGUUCUGGCACCAACUUCACUCAAUUUCAACUAGCCCCAUGUGCAAAUGGCAUCACAGGCCUUGAAAUGAGAGAGAAUUGAUCUGUUAAGAACAACCAAAACAAAAGAUACAACAGCCAGAAACUUCAGCUGAUUCACAACUAAAACAACUCGCUGCAAAUCAACUUGAAGAGAAGAAAAAAGGGGUCGUGUUUGUACGAUGGGCUUAGGUCCUACGCCUACUGACAUUUGGUUCCCAUUUCCUACUCAGUCUGAGGAAGAGGUGCGGGUUGUAUGUGCAGAAUUUUAGUAGACCGUCUGAUUUGAAGGUGGUGUGAUAAAAAUUUGGAAGUCUACAACAACAAAAGGCUAUGUUAUUGCAUCAUCUUAUGCAGACUUAGAAUUCUGGUGGACUGGUUUUGAUCUCUUCCGCCACUCUAGCAGACUCCCCACGACACUCCAUCUUUGAUCCAGAUAUGAAGUCUCAGAAAUUGGGAUAUUUUGAUAGCAUCUGUCUUUAAAGUGAAAGUGGAAUUCAUCCCUUCUGUUGAAAUGUAGAGCCAGUCAGAGCAGAAAAGCAAGAGGGCAGCAUCCAUCACAGCUCAUCGCUUGCGUAUAGAGCACCAUGAUCUUAUUUUGCAAAUUAUGUUUUUGAUGCUUCAUUAGGAAAACUGGUUUGUUAUGUAAAUAUAUUAGGAUUUGACAUGGUGAAACAGAGGAUAUGGAUGUUUUAUGCGAUGAACUCAAGACGAGCACAGGAAAGUGCUCUCUCAUUUCAUUAAAUAAGAGAAUGAAUUUAUGUGAAGUUAGUGAGCUCAUUGAGGGACACACAUCUAUUGACAUCUUAACCAUCAAUGAAUGAACAAAGUUUUGG
Molecule: long non-coding RNA, 1256 nt
Organism: Cornus florida
Lineage: Eukaryota; Viridiplantae; Streptophyta; Magnoliopsida; Cornales; Cornaceae
Exons: 8
Source: RefSeq, a predicted model, not a curated record